This is a long non-coding RNA of Gossypium raimondii (Peruvian cotton), 466 nucleotides long. RefSeq lists it as uncharacterized. NCBI's taxonomy places the organism in Eukaryota, Viridiplantae, Streptophyta, Magnoliopsida, Malvales, Malvaceae. The record is from RefSeq and is a predicted model, not a curated record. The transcript is spliced from 2 exons.
AACCACAAAUUUUCUCCUUUAUCUUCCCUUGGCAGUCCAUUUUCUUGCCAAUUUUGCGAAUGCCUGCUGCCAAAUUACUCUUUCGUUUUUGCACCAACUGCUCCAAAUUAUAGAGUUUCAAUUGGCCGAUUCAAGCUUCAAGUUUAUCUAGGCCGCUAUUUUGCUGCUGAACUAGGUACUGCCUCACUUCUAAAUCAAGCUGCUAUUGGCCACCAUUUGAUGUUCCAAAAUGGCUGCACUUUGUUGUCCAAAUCAGCCUCCAGUUGCCAAUUGAACAUGUUCAAAAAUCUGCUGCUAUUUGGCUUAAAUCUCCCCACCAAUCGGUCUUAAUUUAGUGGCGCUUUACUGUCCUAUUGUUAACCGAUUAUUUCUGCUUCAUUACCAUUCAAAUUGUUGUGAAGUGUCAUUCCAUAUGUUGCAAUUUGCUCCACAGUUUGCUUUAGAAAUCUACAACUAUUUGCUGUCA